UAACGAUGUCCUGGAUACGUUUAAUGC
RNAcentral lists this non-coding RNA (27 nucleotides) under Bombyx mori (domestic silkworm). The record is from RNAcentral. Lineage: Eukaryota; Metazoa; Arthropoda; Insecta; Lepidoptera; Bombycidae.